Molecule: non-coding RNA, 29 nt
Filed under: Cricetulus griseus (Chinese hamster)
Lineage: Eukaryota; Metazoa; Chordata; Mammalia; Rodentia; Cricetidae
Source: RNAcentral
UUACUGUGAUGAAAUGAGACUGAGGACUC